UACAGAGGGAGCAAGCGUUGUUCGGAAUUACUGGGCGUAAAGGGCGCGUAGGCGGUUCGAUAAGUCCCGUGUGAAAUCCCUCGGCUCAACUGAGGAAUGGCACGGGAAACUGACGGGCUUGAGUUCGGGAGAGGGAAGCGGAAUUCCGGGUGUAGCGGUGAAAUUCGUAGAUAUCGAGAGGAACACCGGUGGCGAAGGCGGCCUUCUGGACAGUUACUGACGCUGAGACGCGAAAGCGUGGGGAGCAAACAGG
Molecule: ribosomal RNA, 253 nt
Filed under: uncultured bacterium
Lineage: Bacteria
Description: partial 16S ribosomal RNA
Rfam family: Bacterial small subunit ribosomal RNA
Source: RNAcentral